RNAcentral lists this ribosomal RNA (129 nucleotides) under uncultured Alphaproteobacteria bacterium. RNAcentral describes it as "partial 16S ribosomal RNA". It matches the Rfam family "Bacterial small subunit ribosomal RNA", at positions 396 to 535 of the family's 1533-position model. The record is from RNAcentral. Lineage: Bacteria; Pseudomonadati; Pseudomonadota; Alphaproteobacteria.
GCCGCGUGAGUGAUGAAGGCCUUAGGGUUGUAAAGCUCUUUUACCAGGGAUGAUAAUGACAGUACCUGGAGAAUAAGCUCCGGCUAACUCCGUGCCAGCAGCCGCGGUAAUAAUCGAAUUCCCGCGGCC